This 699-nucleotide ribosomal RNA is filed under the name uncultured bacterium. RNAcentral describes it as "partial 16S ribosomal RNA". The record is from RNAcentral.
UACGGUUACCUUGUUACGACUUAGCGCCAAUCACCGAUUUUACCUUCGGCCUAUCUACAUAGGACUUCGGGUACCCCCGGCUUUCAUCGCUUGACGGGCGGUGUGUACAAGACCCGGGAACGUAUUCACGGGAGCGAGCUGAUCUCCCAUUACUAGCGAUUCCGGCUUCAUGGAGUCGAGUUGCAGACUCCAAUCCGAACUGAGGACGGCUUUUUGAGAUUAGCUCCCCCUCGCGGGUUGGCAACCCUCUGUACCGUCCAUUGUAACACGUGUGUAGCCCAAGGCAUAAGGGCCGUACUGACUUGACGUCAUCUCCACCUUCCUCCCGGUUAUCCCGGGCAGUCCCCCAAGAGUGCGCACACCAUAAUCCGAAGAUUAAAAGUGUGGUAGCAACAUGGGGCAAUGGUUGCGCUCGUUGCGGGACUUAACCCAACAUCUCACGACACGAGCUGACGACAGCCAUGCAGCACCUGUGCAUCGUCCGGCCUAACCGACUCUCCCCUUUAAGAGAGAUACGACGAGCAUGUCAAGCCUUGGUGAGGUUCUUCGCGUAGCAUCGAAUUAAACCACAUGUUCCACCGCUUGUGCGGGUCCCCGUCAAUUCCUUUGAGUUUUAGCCUUGCGGCCGUAGUCCCCAGGUGGAGCACUUAAUGCGUUAGCUGCGGCACUGAUCCCGAAAGACCAACACCUAGUGCUCAU